AAGUCGUAACAAGGUUUCCGUAGGUGAACCUGCGGAAGGAUCAUUAUCGAAUGAAUGCGGAGUCGGUUGUAGCUGGUCCCUCCCCGGGGCAUGUGCACGCCUUCUCUCUCAUCCACAAACCCCUGUGCACUCGUGAGACGGAGGCUUCGGCCCGACACCGGGCUUGGUCCCCGUCUUUAUAACACAAACUCCAUUUAUCUGAAUGUAAACCUGAUGCUAAGCAUCUAAACUAAUACAAAGUUUCAACAACGGAUCUCUUGGCUCUC
RNAcentral lists this unclassified non-coding RNA (266 nucleotides) under fungal sp. RNAcentral's name for it is "partial internal transcribed spacer region". The stretch from base 1 to 46 matches the Rfam family "Eukaryotic small subunit ribosomal RNA", at positions 1786 to 1831 of the family's 1831-position model. The record is from RNAcentral. Lineage: Eukaryota; Fungi.